GGAUUAGAUACCCUGGUAGUCCACGCAGUAAACGAUGAGUGCUAGUCGCCGGGACAAUAGUUUCGGUGUCGUAGCUAACGCAUUAAGCACUCCGCCUGGGAAGUACGGUCGCAAGAUUAAAACUCAAAUAAAUUGACGGGGGCCCGCACAAGCGGUGGAGCAUGUGGUUUAAUUCGAAGCAACGCGAAGAACCUUACCAGACCUUGACAUGGUAUGUUUGAAUUACAGAAUCGUAAUUCUUCAGUUCGGCUGGCAUACACACAGGUGCUGCAUGGCUGUCGUCAGCUGCCGCUG
Molecule: ribosomal RNA, 294 nt
Filed under: uncultured bacterium
Lineage: Bacteria
Description: partial 16S ribosomal RNA
Rfam family: Bacterial small subunit ribosomal RNA
Source: RNAcentral